CCUACGGGAGGCUGCAGUGAGGAAUAUUGGUCAAUGGGCGGGAGCCUGAACCAGCCAAGCCGCGUGAGGGAAGAAGGUACAGCGUAUCGUAAACCUCUUUUGUCAGGGAACAAAGGCGGGGACUAGUCCCCGGAUGAGGGUACCUGAAGAAAAAGCAUCGGCUAACUCCGUGCCAGCAGCCGCGGUAAUACGGAGGAUGCGAGCGUUAUCCGGAUUUAUGGGGUUUAAAGGGUGCGCAGGCGGCCUGUUAAGUCAGCGGUAAAAGCCCGGGGCUCAACCCCGGCGAGCCGUUGAAACUGGCGGGCUGGAGUUGGAGAGAAGUACGCGGAAUGCGCGGUGUAGCGGUGAAAUGCUUAGAUAUCGCGCAGAACCCCGAUUGCGAAGGCAGCGUACCGGCUCCACACUGACGCUGAGGCACGAAAGCGUGGGUAUCGAACAGGAUUAGAUACCCCAGUAGUC
This 459-nucleotide ribosomal RNA is filed under the name uncultured bacterium. Its description in RNAcentral is "partial 16S ribosomal RNA". It matches the Rfam family "Bacterial small subunit ribosomal RNA", at positions 338 to 795 of the family's 1533-position model. The record is from RNAcentral.